GGAGGUGUGGCUCAAGUGAUAGAGUACUUGCCUAGCAAGCUAAGCGUUCUGAGUUCAAAUCUCAGUACUCCCU
Molecule: transfer RNA, 73 nt
Filed under: Dipodomys ordii (Ord's kangaroo rat)
Lineage: Eukaryota; Metazoa; Chordata; Mammalia; Rodentia; Heteromyidae
Rfam family: tRNA
About the family: Transfer RNA (tRNA) molecules are approximately 80 nucleotides in length. Their secondary structure includes four short double-helical elements and three loops (D, anti-codon, and T loops).
Source: Rfam by way of RNAcentral